CUUGCUUUGGCAAUGUAAACAUAUGUUUCCCAUGCCAAUAAAGCCCUUUAAAUUUCAUUGAAUUGAGAAAAAGAGAGAGAGAAAAAGAAAGAGAGAAAGAGAGAGCGAGACACACAGCACACACUCUAACAGCACACACUCACACAGCACACACUCAGCACACACUCACACAGCACACACUCACACAGCACACACUCAGCACACACUCAGCACACACUCACACACACUCACACAGCACACACUCAGCACACACUCACACAGCACACACUCACACAGCACACACUCUAACAGCACACAGCACACACUCAGCACACACUCACACAGCACACACUCAGCACACACUCAGCACACACUCACACAGCACACACUCAGCACACACUCAGCACACACUCAGCACACACUCAGCACACACUCACACAGCACACACUCAGCACACACUCAGCACACACUCACUCAGCACACACUCAGCACACACUCAGCACACACUCAGCACAAACUCACACAGCACACACUCAGCACACACUCACACAGCACACACUCAGCACACACUCAGCACACACUCAGCACACACUCACACAGCACAAACUCAGCACAAACUCACACAGCACACACUCACACAGCACACACUCACACAGCACACACUCACACAGCACACACUCACACAGCACACACUCACACAGCACACACUCAGCACAAACUCACACAGCACACACUCAGCACACACUCACACAGCACACACUCACACAGCACACACUCACACAGCACACACCCAGCACACACUCACACAGCACACACUCAGCACACACACACUCAGCACACACUCACACAGCACACACUCACACAGCACACACACACUCAGCACACACACACACAGCACACACUCACACAGCACACACACAGCACACACUCAGCACACACUCACACAGCACACACAUAGCACACACUCAGCACAAACUCAGCACACACUCAGCACACACACAGCACACACUCAGCACACACUCAGCACAAACUCAUACAGCACACACUCAGCACACACUCACACAGCACACACACAGCACACACUCAGCACACACUCACACAGCACACACAUAGCACACACUCAGCACAAACUCAGCACACACUCAGCACACACACAGCACACACUCAGCACACACUCAGCACAAACUCAUACAGCACACACUCAGCACACACUCACACAGCACACACUCAGCACAAACUCACACAGCACAC
Molecule: long non-coding RNA, 1230 nt
Filed under: Salmo trutta (river trout)
Lineage: Eukaryota; Metazoa; Chordata; Actinopteri; Salmoniformes; Salmonidae
Description: lncRNA (ENSSTUG00000013776.1)
Source: RNAcentral